ACUGAUUGAUGGUGCUUGCACCUGAUUGACGAUGGAUCACCAGUGAGUGGCGGACGGGUGAGUAACACGUAGGUAACCUGCCCCGGAGCGGGGGAUAACAUUUGGAAACAGAUGCUAAUACCGCAUAACAACAAAAGCUGCAUGGCUUUUGUUUGAAAGAUGGCUUUGGCUAUCACUCUGGGAUGGACCUGCGGUGCAUUAGCUAGUUGGUAAGGUAACGGCUUACCAAGGCGAUGAUGUAUAGCCGAGUUGAGAGACUAAUCGGCCACAAUGGAACUGAGACACGGUCCAUACUCCUACGGGAGGCAGCAGUAGGGAAUCUUCCACAAUGGGCGCAAGCCUGAUGGAGCAACACCGCGUGAGUGAAGAAGGGUUUCGGCUCGUAAAGCUCUGUUGUUGGAGAAGAACGUGCGUGAGAGCAACUGUUCACGCAGUGACGGUAUCCAACCAGAAAGUCACGGCUAACUACGUGCCAGCAGCCGCGGUAAUACGUAGGUGGCAAGCGUUAUCCGGAUUUAUUGGGCGUAAAGCGAGCGCAGGCGGUCGCUUAGGUCUGAUGUGAAAGUCUUCGGCUUAACCGAAGAAGUGCAUCGGAAACCGGGCGACUUGAGUGCAGAAGAGGACAGUGGAACUCCAUGUGUAGCGGUGGAAUGCGUAGAUAUAUGGAAGAACACCAGUGGCGAAGGCGGCUGUCUGGUCUGCAACUGACGCUGA
RNAcentral lists this ribosomal RNA (714 nucleotides) under uncultured Bacilli bacterium. Its description in RNAcentral is "bacterial SSU rRNA". It matches the Rfam family "Bacterial small subunit ribosomal RNA", at positions 65 to 749 of the family's 1533-position model. Lineage: Bacteria; Bacillati; Bacillota; Bacilli. The record is from RNAcentral.